RNAcentral lists this long non-coding RNA (988 nucleotides) under Capra hircus (goat). RNAcentral's name for it is "lncRNA (ENSCHIG00000005716.1)". Lineage: Eukaryota; Metazoa; Chordata; Mammalia; Artiodactyla; Bovidae. The record is from RNAcentral.
AUAGACAUGAUAAUCCUUAUAAGACAGAUAGUAAUUAACUAGAUGGAAUAAAGGAAAGUGAAGUUUCAGACAAAAGAGUCAAUAUUUAUAGAAUUGUUAGGUAUAUAUUUUAGAGGAAACAUUUUCAAGUGCUAUUGAGGAUAAAUCUGGAGGAAGUUAGAUUAGUGUGGAGCUAAUGCAGUAGUCGAGGCAGAAAAUGAUGAGGGAUUAAACUAACACGCUGCCCAGAAAUCAAGGAACUGACUUGAGAGCUAGCAUAACAUUGGAAUUAAUAGGAGAGUGUUACUACCCGGAAGAGUGAAGGAUGCAGUGCAGUCUUGGGUAGCAUAGAUGCUUUAGUUCGGAGUUAUUAGAUGGACAACCAUGCCAUUCCCUGAGAUAUCCAACAGGAAGAAGAUAGGCUUGGGUGGAAGAUGAUGAGUUUUAGAUCUAUUGAGUAUGUACUAUUUGUGGAAGAUACGUGUGAAGAGGAUGAUGAGGCAGUGACAUACUCAUUUUUCUCCUCUGGCCUUUGUGGAGCAGUUGCGGAGAUUGAGGAACCACCCUCUGAAAGCUGCUGGUGGGAUUUGUUGAAUGAGGAAGUAGGAGGAUGGGUGACAUCAUUGUUACCUGAGACACUGAGAUGGCUAUACAGCUCCUUGUGAAUGAAGAAACAGGGAACCAGGAAAUAAGGUAGCUGCAAGAGAAACAAUGAUCUGCAUGUGAAUGGAAGGAAAGAGAGAAUAAGAAGGAAAAAAGACAUUAUGAGUCACUGAAUAUUCAGCCCUAAAAAACCAAGAGCAUUAUCCCAUGUUUCCAUUUAUAUAAAAUUCUGGAAAAUACAGCUGUAAACUGCAGUGAUAGAAAACAGGUGAGUUAUUUCCUGGGGCUGGAAACAGGGAAUGAUGACUGCCUUGGGCUGGACACAGAGGGAUGGACACAAGAAAAACUGGAAAUGGUUUAUAUUUUAAGUGUUGGUAAAACACUGCAUGUAAUUUGUAAAGCUCAU